AGUGAACGCUGGCGGCAGGCCUAAUACAUGCAAGUCGAACGGCAGCACAGUGGAGCUUGCUCCAUGGGUGGCGAGUGGCGGACGGGUGAGGAAUACAUGGGAAUCUGCCCAGUCGUGGGGGAUAACGUAUGGAAACGUACGCUAAUACCGCAUGCGCCCUUCGGGGGAAAGUCGGGGACCGCAAGGCCUGACGCGAUUGGAUGAGCCCAUGUUCGAUUAGCUAGUUGGCGGGGUAACGGCCCACCAAGGCGACGAUCGAUAGCUGGUCUGAGAGGAUGAUCAGCCACACUGGAACUGAGACACGGUCCAGACUCCUACGGGAGGCAGCAGUAGGGAAUAUUGGACAAUGGGCGCAAGCCUGAUCCAGCCAUGCCGCGUGAGUGAAGAAGGCCCUCGGGUUGUAAAGCUC
Molecule: ribosomal RNA, 409 nt
Filed under: uncultured bacterium
Lineage: Bacteria
Description: bacterial SSU rRNA
Rfam family: Bacterial small subunit ribosomal RNA
Source: RNAcentral